Molecule: ribosomal RNA, 502 nt
Filed under: uncultured Pseudomonadota bacterium
Lineage: Bacteria; Pseudomonadati; Pseudomonadota
Description: bacterial SSU rRNA
Rfam family: Bacterial small subunit ribosomal RNA
Source: RNAcentral
AGACCAAAGAGGGGGACCUUCGGGCCUCUUGCCAUCGGAUGUGCCCAGAUGGGAUUAGCUAGUAGGUGGGGUAAAGGCUCACCUAGGCGACGAUCCCUAGCUGGUCUGAGAGGAUGACCAGCCACACUGGAACUGAGACACGGUCCAGACUCCUACGGGAGGCAGCAGUGGGGAAUAUUGCACAAUGGGCGCAAGCCUGAUGCAGCCAUGCCGCGUGUAUGAAGAAGGCCUUCGGGUUGUAAAGUACUUUCAGCGGGGAGGAAGGGAGUAAAGUUAAUACCUUUGCUCAUUGACGUUACCCACAGAAGAAGCACCGGCUAACUCCGUGCCAGCAGCCGCGGUAAUACGGAGGGUGCAAGCGUUAAUCGGAAUUACUGGGCGUAAAGCGCACGCAGGCGGUUUGUUAAGUCAGAUGUGAAAUCCCCGGGCUCAACCUGGGAACUGCAUCUGAUACUGGCAAGCUUGAGUCUCGUAGAGGGGGGUAGAAUUCCAGGUGUAGCGG